Molecule: ribosomal RNA, 460 nt
Filed under: uncultured bacterium
Lineage: Bacteria
Description: partial 16S ribosomal RNA
Rfam family: Bacterial small subunit ribosomal RNA
Source: RNAcentral
CCUACGGGAGGCAGCAGUAGGGAAUAUUGCUCAAUGGACGAGAGUCUGAACCAGCCAAGUAGCGUGAAGGAUGACUGCCCUAUGGGUUGUAAACUUCUUUUAUAUGGGAAUAAAAUGUUCCACGUGUGGGAUUUUGUAUGUACCAUAUGAAUAAGGAUCGGCUAACUCCGUGCCAGCAGCCGCGGUAAUACGGAGGAUCCGAGCGUUAUCCGGAUUUAUUGGGUUUAAAGGGAGCGUAGGUGGAUUGUUAAGUCAGUUGUGAAAGUUUGCGGCUCAACCGUAAAAUUGCAGUUGAAACUGGCAGUCUUGAGUACAGUAGAGGUGGGCGGAAUUCGUGGUGUAGCGGUGAAAUGCUUAGAUAUCACGAAGAACUCCGAUUGCGAAGGCAGUUCACUGGACUGCAACUGACACUGAGGCUCGAAAGUGUGGGUAUCAAACAGGAUUAGAUACCCCUGUAGUC